Molecule: transfer RNA, 77 nt
Filed under: Holdemanella biformis
Lineage: Bacteria; Bacillati; Bacillota; Erysipelotrichia; Erysipelotrichales; Erysipelotrichaceae
Also listed under: 12 other names
Description: tRNA-Arg
Rfam family: tRNA
About the family: Transfer RNA (tRNA) molecules are approximately 80 nucleotides in length. Their secondary structure includes four short double-helical elements and three loops (D, anti-codon, and T loops).
Source: RNAcentral
GCGCCUGUAGCUCAACUGGAUAGAGUAUCAGAUUCCGAUUCUGGCGGUUGCAGGUUCGAGACCUGUCAGGCGCACCA